This is an RNA transcript of Ipomoea nil (Japanese morning glory), 3663 nucleotides long. RefSeq lists it as uncharacterized. NCBI's taxonomy places the organism in Eukaryota, Viridiplantae, Streptophyta, Magnoliopsida, Solanales, Convolvulaceae. The record is from RefSeq and is a predicted model, not a curated record. The transcript is spliced from 5 exons.
AGAGGCGAAGAAGAAAAUUGUGACGGAGGGGAGCAGAAGCUUCUGAACAAACAAACAGCAAACGGCCUCUUAUGAAACAGUUAACGGCGUGUCGAACGUUAAUGUUUCUGUCAGGACGUUUAGCAGCCGCUCAUCAUUCUUCCUCCCUCUCUCUCUCUCUAAAGCUCCAGUCUUGAAGAACUCCAUCGUUCCUUUUCUCUCUCCACGCCUUUUCUCUCUCUAGAAAUUUAUUCACCCACUCUCUCUCGAGACUGUGUCGUUGCAUUGCGAAAUUUCCUACACAGACACUGCCGAAAUCUUGAAAAAACAGCUCACCCCACUACUACUUACUGAGGCCGAGGACCACUUACCAUCAAAGCUUUUAUUUUUAUUUUUUAUUUUUUUAUAUUUUUUCUCACCUCCAUGGACCACCGCCGUCCACCGCCAACAUUUCCGGGCUGAAAAUCACUUGCCCAGAUUGCUACCGUGCGUUAAUUAUUGAUUUUGUUGGAGUUUUUUUUUUUUUUUGGGAGUUAUAUAUGGCGGAGGCGAAUAGCAACACGGCGGCGCUGGUGGAGGCGGGGACCGGCGGCGGCGGCGGGUUGACGGAGGAGAUGGCGGCGAAGGCGGUGCUGAAGAGAUACGAGGGAUUGGUGAUGGUACGGACGAAAGCGGUGAAGGGGAAAGGGGCGUGGUACUGGGCUCACUUUGAGCCCAUGCUGGUCCACAAUUCUGAUACGGGGUUGCCCAAAGCUGUUAAGCUCCGGUGUUCAUUAUGCGACGCCGUGUUCUCGGCGUCCAACCCUUCCAGAACCGCCUCCGAGCAUCUAAAGAGAGGAACUUGCCCCAAUUUCAACACCCUCGUCAAACCCAUUUCGUCUCUGCCGCCGCCGUCGCCGCCCGUCAGCGUGACGUCGCCCACGGUUUCGUCGCCCCACCAACAGAAUCACCGGAAGCGGAACUCUCCCGGCGGUGGCCGGGCCGAUAGUGGCAGCCCGGCUUCUACUGCGCCAUAUCAAGUCACCCCGCUUGCUAUUGUUGAUCCAUCGAGAUUCGCCGUGGAGUUAGCUUACCCCCCGGUGGUGUCAAUGGCCACCGCUAUUGUUACCACCGGUGGUGGCGGUGCCGCCGCCUCCGGCGGCGGCGGCGGCAUGUAUGGGCAGCAGCAUAUGGUGUUGUCAGGUGGAAAGGAGGAUUUGGGAGCUCUGGCCAAGUUAGAAGAUAGUGUGAAGAAGCUAAAGAGUCCGAAAUCAUCGCCGGGACCAACUUUGAGCAAGUCCCAGAUUGAUUCAUCAUUCGAUUAUCUCGCAGAUUGGGUGUAUGAAUGUUGUGGGUCGGUCUCCUUUUCCAGUCUUGACCACCCAAAAUUCAGGGCAUUUCUCAACCAAGUUGGAUUGCCCCCAAUUUCAAGAAAAGAGUUAGCAGGUCCCAGGUUAGAUGCCAAGUACGAGGAAGCCAAGGUUGAGUCCGAGGCGAAAAUCCGAGACGCCAUGUUCUUCCAGGUUGCAGCUGAUGGUUGGAUGGCAAAGAAGCACGGGCAUGUUGGGGAAGAGAAUCUAGUGAGUUUAUAUGUGAAUCUUCCCAAUGGAACCAGUGUGUUUAGGAGGACAGUUUUCACUAGUGGAUUUGUGCCUUCUAAGUAUGCAGAGGAUGUUUUAUGGGACACCAUCACAGACAUUUGUGGCAACACUGUUCAACAAUGUGUAGGCAUAGUUGCAGACAAGUUUAAGGGCAAGGCAUUGAGGAAUCUAGAGAAUCAGCACCAUUGGAUGGUCAAUCUUUCUUGUCAGCAUCAAGCAUUCAAUAGUUUGAUUAAGGAUUUCGUCAAGGAGCUUCCUUUUUUCAAGAACGUGACCGAGAAUUGUAUAAAGCUUGCGAAUUUCGUGAACAAUAAGUCCCAGAUUCGGAAUAGCUUCCACAAGUAUCAGUUGCAGGAGUAUGGGCAUGCUGGGUUGUUGAGGGUGCCCUUGCCCGGCUAUGAAAGCUCAGAUUUUGGACCUGUUUAUUCGUUGAUCGAGGAUAUUCUUAGCUCAGCUCGGGCACUUCAGCUAGUGUUGCUGGAUGAAUCGUAUAAGGUAGCUUCAGUGGAGGAGCCAUUUGCAAGGGAGAUUGAAGAGAUGAUGAGAAGCCCGCGUUUCUGGAAUGAGUUGGAGGCGAUGCAUUCGUUAGUUAAAUUGAUCAAGACGAUGGCACGGGAUAUCGAGACGGAGAAACCCCGAGUGGGGCAAUGCCUUCCAUUGUGGGAGGAGCUUAGAGUGAAAGUGAAGGAUUGGUGUUCUAAGUUUCACAUUGCCGAGGGACCGGUAGAGAAAUUGGUCGAAAGGAGGUUCGAGAAGAAUUAUCACCCGGCUUGGGCUGCUGCAUUUAUACUCGAUCCGCUCUAUUUGAUUCGAGACACGAGUGGGAAGUACUUGCCCCCGUUCAAAUACCUGACCCCCGAGCAAGAAAAGGACGUGGACAAGCUCAUAACACGGCUCGUAUCUCGUGACGAGGCUCAUAUUGCCUUGAUGGAGCUUAUGAAAUGGAGAACCGAAGGGCUCGAGCCGGUUUAUGCUCAAGCUGUUCAGUUGAAGCAGAGGGAUCCUAGCACGGGGAAGAUGAAAAUCGCGAACCCACAGAGUAGUAGGCUCGUUUGGGAAACGUACCUCACGGGGUUCAAGUCGUUAGGCAAAGUUGCUGUUAGGCUUAUCUUCCUUCACGCUACCUCGUGCGGGUUUAAAUGCAACUGGUCUUUCCCGAGAUGGGCGGGUGCCCAAUCCCAUUCGAGGGCGGGUGUGGACCGAGCCCAGAAGUUGAUAUUCAUAGCUGCUCACUCGAAGCUCGAAAAACGGGACUAUUCCAAUGAUGAAGACAAAGAUGCGGAGCUCUUUGCCCUGGCAAACGGUGAGGAUGAUGUGCUCAAUGAGGUUUUUGUCGAUACAUCCUCUCUGUGCUGUAGAGCUUCCUUGACUUUACGGUUACAUUAGCUUAAACGUUGGCGUUGAAAUGCACGUGUCAUCACGAUUCAAUCAACGAGACACCCGAAACUACGACAGUCGAGAUGAGGUAUUGGAUGCGUUUCUUGCAACUAGAGAUGAAGCAGCCAAGAAAGACGUUGUUGAAGCACCACGAAAUGCAUAGUUGGUGUAAAAACUCGGCAAACUAGGUUUGGCUAUCCCGGGAUUUAACCAAAUCUUUAUAGCUGGAAGAGCACUUCACAACUGCUAAUAUCCCAUUCCUAUUCUUUCUUGUAUAUGUGUCUUUGAGGCAGUGGCGUCCCACCACGGGAGCUAAGUCCACCGGAUGAUGCUUCCCAUGAUUGCGAAAAAGGGUCGAGAGGACCCAAAGUGAAACAACACUGUCGGUAUGAACCAACACAAAAGAUGCUCGAUAGCGAUUUGGCAACACAUAUUGACUAAUGUUUGCUCAUUCCUGCAGAUAGCUUUGAGAAGUGGAAAUCCAUCAUUACCAGAGGGAGGGAGGAGGCAUGGUGGUAGCAGUAGAAGUAAAAAAGAAGACUCCUUUACAACUUUUUUCAUGGUAAAAAAGAUGGGUAAAAGUGGUUGCUGCCAUUUUUCACCACUGCAAACAAUAAUGGUGGAAAUGUUUUUUUAUCUUAGUUUUGUAAAAGGAUGGUACAAUGUAGUGAAAAUGGGUAUUAUUUUCCUUCCAAGAAAGGAAAACCAGCUUGCAUGGUUUCUUGUA